GAGGGUAUAGGUCAGUGGUAGAGCACAUGCUUAGCAUGCAUGAGGUCCUGGGUUCAAGCCCCAGUACCUCCA
This 72-nucleotide transfer RNA is filed under the name Camelus bactrianus (Bactrian camel). It matches the Rfam family "tRNA". From Rfam's summary of the family: Transfer RNA (tRNA) molecules are approximately 80 nucleotides in length. Lineage: Eukaryota; Metazoa; Chordata; Mammalia; Artiodactyla; Camelidae. RNAcentral also lists the same sequence under 2 other names. The record is from Rfam by way of RNAcentral.